AAAUUACUAAAACAUUUUCUCAUAAUUGAAAACACAUACAUUAUGUAAUUUUAUAUUUAUUUACCACAUUGUUUAAAAAGUUUAAUUUUAUUAACAUUUUCACUUGGAUUUACAGGACAGAGUUGAAGAGACUGCUAUCCUAGAACAGAAACGUCGGCGUGAUGAACAAAAAGCUGUCGUAAAAGUUGCGAGCCACCAAAAUGGAUCCCAAGAAGAUCAUCACUAUGAAAAAUAUCAUAAAAGGGAAAAAUCACCAUUCCGAGAUCGUUCGCACGAGGAAC
Molecule: long non-coding RNA, 281 nt
Organism: Ostrinia furnacalis (Asian corn borer)
Lineage: Eukaryota; Metazoa; Arthropoda; Insecta; Lepidoptera; Crambidae
Exons: 3
Source: RefSeq, a predicted model, not a curated record